AACGUAGGAGGCGAGCGUUAUCCGGAUUUACUGGGCGUAAAGCGCGUGUAGGCGGAUUGGUAAGUUAGCUGUGAAAGCUCCUGGCUUAACUAGGAGAGGUCGGUUAAUACUGCCAGUCUAGAGUAUGUGAGAGGGAAGUGGAAUUCCGGGUGUAGUGGUGAAAUGCGUAGAUAUCCGGAGGAACACCAGAGGCGAAGGCGGCUUCCUGGCACAUAACUGACGCUCAGACG
Molecule: ribosomal RNA, 230 nt
Filed under: uncultured microorganism
Description: partial 16S ribosomal RNA
Rfam family: Bacterial small subunit ribosomal RNA
Source: RNAcentral